This 468-nucleotide ribosomal RNA is filed under the name uncultured bacterium. RNAcentral's name for it is "partial 16S ribosomal RNA". It matches the Rfam family "Bacterial small subunit ribosomal RNA", at positions 28 to 507 of the family's 1533-position model. The record is from RNAcentral.
GACGAACGCUGGCGGCUUUCUUAACACAUGCAAGUCGAACGGAAAGGCCCUGCUUUUUUGGGGUUCUCGAGUGGCGAACGGGUGAGUAACACGUGAGUAACCUGCCCUUGACUUUGGGAUAACUUCAGGAAACUGGGGCUAAUACCGGAUAGGAGCUCCUGCUGCAUGGUGGGGGUUGGAAAGUUUCGGCGGUUGGGGAUGGACUCGCGGCUUAUCAGCUUGUUGGUGGGGUAGUGGCUUACCAAGGCUUUGACGGGUAGCCGGCCUGAGAGGGUGACCGGCCACAUUGGGACUGAGAUACGCCCCAGACUCCUACGGGAGGCAGCAGUGGGGAAUAUUGCACAAUGGGCGGAAGCCUGAUGCAGCAACGCCGCGUGCGGGAUGACGGCAUUCGGGUUGUAAACCGCUUUCGCCUGUGACGAAGCGUGAGUGACGGUAAUGGGUAAAGAAGCACCGGCUAACUACGUG